AACGAACGCUGGCGGCAGGCUUAACACAUGCAAGUCGAACGAGAUCUUCGGAUCUAGUGGCAGACGGGUGAGGAACACGUGGGAACAUCCCUUUCAGUUCGGAAUAACGUUGGGAAACUAACGCUAAUACCGGAUACGUCCUUCGUGAGAAAGAUUUAUCGCUGAAAGAUUGGUCCGCGUCUGAUUAGCUAGUUGGUGAGGUAAUGGCUCACCAAGGCUACGAUCAGUAGAUGAUCUGAGAGGAUGAUCAGCCACAUUGGGACUGAGACACGGCCCAAACUCCUACGGGAGGCAGCAGUGGGGAAUAUUGGACAAUGGGCGCAAGCCUGAUCCAGCCAUGCCGCGUGAGUGAUGACGGCCUUCGGGUUGUAAAGCUCUUUUGUCCGGGAAGAUAAUGACUGUACCGGAAGAAUAAGCCCCGGCAAACUUCGUGCCAGCCGCCGCAGUAA
RNAcentral lists this ribosomal RNA (449 nucleotides) under uncultured bacterium. Its description in RNAcentral is "partial 16S ribosomal RNA". It matches the Rfam family "Bacterial small subunit ribosomal RNA", at positions 29 to 523 of the family's 1533-position model. The record is from RNAcentral.